RNAcentral lists this ribosomal RNA (1376 nucleotides) under uncultured bacterium. Its description in RNAcentral is "bacterial SSU rRNA". It matches the Rfam family "Bacterial small subunit ribosomal RNA", at positions 27 to 1393 of the family's 1533-position model. The record is from RNAcentral.
GAUUGAACGCUGGCGGUAUGCUUAACACAUGCAAGUCGAACGGAAACGAUACUAGCUUGCUAGUAGGCGUCGAGUGGCGGACGGGUGAGUAACGCGUAGGAAUCUGCCUGAUAGUGGGGGAUAGCCCGAAGAAAUUCGGAUUAAUACCGCAUAAUCUAUUCGUAGUAAAGUGGGGGACUUUCGAGCCUCACGCUAUCAGAUGAGCCUGCGUAAGAUUAGCUUGUUGGUAGGGUAAAAGCCUACCAAGGCGACGAUCUUUAGCUGGUCUGAGAGGAUGAUCAGCCACAUCGGGACUGAGACACGGCCCGAACUCCUACGGGAGGCAGCAGUGGGGAAUAUUGGACAAUGGGGGCAACCCUGAUCCAGCAAUACCGCGUGUGUGAAGAAGGCCUGAAGGUUGUAAAGCACUUUCAAUUGUGAAGAAAAGUUAGCGGUUAAUAACCGUUAGCCUUGACGUUAACUUUAGAAGAAGCACCGGCUAACUCCGUGCCAGCAGCCGCGGUAAUACGGAGGGUGCAAGCGUUAAUCGGAAUUACUGGGCGUAAAGCGUGCGUAGGCGGUUUAUUAAGUCAGAUGUGAAAGCCCCGGGCUUAACCUGGGAACUGCAUUUGAAACUGGUCAACUAGAGUAUGGUAGAGGAAAGUGGAAUUUCUGGUGUAGCGGUGAAAUGCGUAGAUAUCAGAAGGGAACAUCAAUGGCGAAGGCAGCUUUCUGGACCAAUACUGACGCUGAGGUACGAAAGCGUGGGUAGCAAACAGGAUUAGAUACCCUGGUAGUCCACGCCGUAAACGAUGAUAACUAGCCGUUGGGGGGAUUUACCCUUUAGUGGCGAAGCUAACGCGUUAAGUUAUCCGCCUGGGGAGUACGGCCGCAAGGUUAAAACUCAAAGGAAUUGACGGGGACCCGCACAAGCGGUGGAGCAUGUGGUUUAAUUCGAUGCAACGCGAAGAACCUUACCUGGUCUUGACAUCCUGCGAACUUUCUAGAAAUAGAUUGGUGCCUUCGGGAACGCAGUGACAGGUGCUGCAUGGCUGUCGUCAGCUCGUGUCGUGAGAUGUUGGGUUAAGUCCCGUAACGAGCGCAACCCCUAUCCUUAUUUGCCAGCACAUCAUGGUGGGAACUAUAAGGAGACUGCCGGUGAUAAACCGGAGGAAGGCGGGGACGACGUCAAGUCAUCAUGGCCCUUACGACCAGGGCUACACACGUGCUACAAUGGGAAGGACAAAGAGCCGCGAAGCCGCGAGGUGUAGCUAAUCUCAUAAACCUUUUCGUAGUCCGGAUUGGAGUCUGCAACUCGACUCCAUGAAGUCGGAAUCGCUAGUAAUCGUAGAUCAGAAUGCUACGGUGAAUACGUUCCCGGGUCUUGUACACACCGC